This 440-nucleotide ribosomal RNA is filed under the name uncultured bacterium. RNAcentral describes it as "partial 16S ribosomal RNA". It matches the Rfam family "Bacterial small subunit ribosomal RNA", at positions 338 to 795 of the family's 1533-position model. The record is from RNAcentral.
CCUACGGGAGGCAGCAGUGGGGAAUAUUGCACAAUGGGGGAAACCCUGAUGCAGCGACGCCGCGUGAGUGAAGAAGGAUUUCGGUAUGUAAAGCUCUGUCAGCAGGGAAGAAAAUGACGGUACCCGACCAAGAAGCCCCGGCUAACUACGGGCCAGCAGCCGCGGUAAUACGUAGGGGGCAAGCGUUAUCCGGAUUUACUGGGUGUAAAGGGAGCGUAGACGGCAGGGCAAGUCUGGAGUGAAAGGCGGGGGCUCAACCCCCGGACUGCUCUGGAAACUGACAGGCUGGAGUGCAGGAGAGGUGAGUGGAAUUCCUAGUGUAGCGGUGAAAUGCGUAGAUAUUAGGAGGAACACCAGUGGCGAAGGCGGCUUACUGGACUGUAACUGACGUUGAGGCUCGAAAGCGUGGGGAGCAAACAGGAUUAGAUACCCUUGUAGUC